AACGGUCUAUACCUGCGGUACCUGCGGAGGGAUCAUUAUCAAUUUACAGCGGACUUCGGUCCUGUCUGCACCCUUGUCUUUUGCGUACUAUAUGUUUCCUCGGUGGGCUUGCCUGCCGAUAGGACACUUAUAAACUCUUUUGUAAUUGCAAUCAGCGUCAGAAAACUAUAAUAGUUACAACUUUCAACAAUGGAUCUCU
This 199-nucleotide unclassified non-coding RNA is filed under the name soil metagenome. RNAcentral describes it as "partial contains 5.8S ribosomal RNA, internal transcribed spacer 2, and large subunit ribosomal RNA". The record is from RNAcentral.